This is a long non-coding RNA of Cornus florida, 3042 nucleotides long. RefSeq lists it as uncharacterized. The record is from RefSeq and is a predicted model, not a curated record. The transcript has 6 exons. NCBI's taxonomy places the organism in Eukaryota, Viridiplantae, Streptophyta, Magnoliopsida, Cornales, Cornaceae.
ACCUUCGGCCAAAACAGCCCAUUAGCGGCAAAUAAAGCCCAAAGGCAAACCCGACCCGAAGCAACAGAACCAGCCCAGAGUUAAGCCCAACCCAAAGCAAAAAAGGACUUCAGGUAGCAGUUGAAACCAUUACAUGAAGAUCUUAAACACAGAUCCGGUGAGCAAACCCUACAACGAUGGAGAGAUAAUCUCCAUGAAUUUCAGUUCGGUGGCCUCAGAGGAGGCCUGCAACAAGAUGGAGAAAGAUUCUAGCUGCUCAGAAUCGAUCUAGAAGCCACGUAAUCCCUAAGACAACCCAGACGGAGGAUUGAGGUGAUUGAAUUGCAGACUUUAGCGAGAACCCUGCUCUGCGAAGCUGGAUUCCCUCUGAAGAUGCGAUUGUUCCUCUCUUCCCAGGUGUGAUAAAUUAAUUCUGAAAAACAGACUUUCCUUAGAGUGUUGAUUAGUGAGCUUGAUUUCCAUCGAACACUAGUCCAUAGAAUCAAUUCUUCCCAACUGUGAAAAGCUUUAUAGAACCUUCAUCUGUCUGAGAUGAAUUUCCAAAGAGGGGAAGAGAAGGUGCAGUUUGAGAAUAGAUGAGAAUGGGACACCGUUUCAGUAUUGCAAAGGGCACAAAUGUUAUCAUGGUGAGCCAUGGAUCUGCAAUCAAGUGUUGGAAGCCUGCCCUAAACAGAAUUUCAUUCUCGGGAUGGAAAGUGUUUGCCAUACAAGGUUGUGCCAAGGAACUGUAGGACCAUGAUGUGAUAGGUGGAAAGUUGUGUGCUUCAAGCUGAAUGAACUAGAAGGGGAACAGACCAAAUCAAUUUGUCCUUCUUGAAAGGAGAAGGUUGUUGUAAAGAGAGGAGUUCAGGAUUGCAGAGGAUAAUUGAGUUGGAAAGCUCCAAGAAUUGUUGACAAUAAAGUGAGCAACUUUUGUGUCUUCAUGUAUACCCAAAAAGGAGAGGAUGGAUGGUGGAAAUCGAUGGCAUAGAGACCCUCCAGAGGACCAAUUAUCCAACCAAAAUGAGGUAUCAUUCCCAUCACCAACAAUAUGCUUGAUAAAAUGCCUUGCAUGAUGUCUGAGUUGCAGAAUUUUCCUCCAACUCCAAGAGCAGGAGUGAGGGACUUUCAAUGACCAGAAAUUCCUGUGUGAAGUUCCCAAAUAUAUCUCAGGAUAGCUGCAUGGUUAGAUAAUUCUAGGUUGGGCAGACCCAAACCCCCUUCAACCUCAGGUUUGCACACUGCUUCCCAAUUUACCUUUCCUCCAUUAGAUUUCAUCUCUGGGCCAUACCAUAAGAAAGAUCUGAGAAUCCUAUUGAGUUCAUUGAUAACACUCUUUGGAAGAAUCAAGAUACUGAACCAAUAGAACUGUGUGGAUACAAGGACAGAUCUAACAAGCUGCAAUCUACCUGCAUAAGAGAGAGAUCUUGCAGUCUAAUGAGAAAUUUUGUGAGUAAUCUUCUCUACCGUCAUUGGCUUUAAGGUUUGUAGUUAUUAAUGGAGCUCCCAAGAGCCUGAUGGGAAGAGAACCCUUGUGAAUGCCAAGCAAAUUGGUGAUGGCAUCUUCAAUGUGUGGUGGAACACCAGAGAGGAAGAUUGAGCUUUUAGACAGAUUAAUUGUGAAAUCAGGCAUUGAGCAAAAAUAGUCCAAGGUAGACUUGAUAAUGGAGAUGGAUUCUAUAUUACCAAAGCAAAGCAAUAGGAGACUAUCUGCAAAAGAAAGGUUUACUCGGUGGGAAGAGAAAAAUGUCAUUUGGAUUGAGUAGAUUUGGAAAAAAUAGGAACAUAACUAGAGCUCGUGCAACAAUGAACCAUGGAAAAACGUAAUAUAAAACAUCCUACGUUGUGAAACUAUAUUCCACUUGAUCCUAUCUUGUGAAACAACAACUCGAUAGUAGGAUAUAAAUUAAAGAUCAUACCUUCAAAAAACAAUUCGACAACCACCAUCAAAGAAUGGAUAUAAAAGAUACUACCUUGUGAAACUAUAUCCACUUGAUCCUAUCCUGUGAAACAAUACAACUCGAUAGUGAGAUAUAAAAGAUCCUACCUUGAAACAACAAUUCAAAAACCAAGAGUGGAUAUAAAAAAUCCUACCUGAAACAACUAUUGAAGAGUGGAAUAUAUAUAAAUGAUAACAACCACUUGGUAUCCCUGAAAUGGUUUGUAUAAUGACAAAACUAUUGUGAAUACAACCUCUUCAAGAGAGAGAAGGGGUGAUAAGGGUGAUAUAUUCACGAAAUCCAAGGGAUAUCGUAGAGAUGAAGAGAAUAAAACCUUAACAGAGCCUUUGAAGAGGAUUGAUUUUUUCUAUGACGUUGUACAGAACAUGCUUAGACUUAAAAGAUCACGAGUGCGGUGAUUUGGAGUUAGGUGAAUUGGAGUUACCGUGCCGGAUCACAAGUUCAUGAAGUGAUUUUUGUGAGAAUUCAGAAAAUUGAGUGAAUAUGUUGGGUUGGAUAUGAAGGUGAUUCCUUGGUGGCUGCACAGACUGUUUGAACAUUAUCAUAGAUAAUGUUCGACAGGGAAAAUAGUAUUUGGAGGAUAAAUCACAACUGCAAGAAGGCAGAUGAUGAUGUUGCAAUUGAUAACCUACCCUCAAGUUCACAAUUAGCUUUGUUAGCCCAAGUCCAUGUUGAUUCUCAACUUUAGUUCACAAUCUAUUUCGAUGUGCAUUGAUAAAGUUCUUGAGUUUCUUAUUAUGGGUAUAAAGAUCUCGUGUAAUUGUCAUUCUGAUGCAUAAAGAUUUUCUCUAUAUUUUUGAAUUGUGGGACAAUUGGGAGAAAAUGUCGGUUGCAGGCUUUCAUGUUUUUUAGGUUUGAUUUGGCUAAUUGGAUAGUUUCUCUAAAAUAACAGAAUUGGGCUGGGUUAUAGGAUUUAUUUGAAUUGAAAUUUGUGAAUGUUCGAUAGUGCUUACCUUUGUACCGAGUAGAUCAAUUAUGAUAUUCAAAAUUUAUUUUCAAGUGUCGAGGUUUUGGGUAUCUUUAUUUGCAUUUUAUUUUAUUUUUGUUUGGAAAUAAUUCUUUUGUAUUUUAGUUAUUUGUAAUGCCCUCUCUUUGACAAAAA